ACUGAGUGUGGUCAUCCUAUUUGUAUGAAUGUAUCAUUCUUGUAUCGGAAGCUAGAAAUAUGAAAUAUUACUCUGAAGUUCUAUUGUAACUGUGCAAAGUGUGGAACAUUAAUGGUGGCUUGGAAUCUUGAUAGCUCCCAUUAACUAGGACAGUUGGUUGUGAAUGACUCUGUUUACUCACAAACCUUCCUGGGUAUCAGGGUGGGUUGACAG
This is a non-coding RNA of Chelonoidis abingdonii (Abingdon island giant tortoise), 213 nucleotides long. The record is from RefSeq and is a predicted model, not a curated record. NCBI's taxonomy places the organism in Eukaryota, Metazoa, Chordata, Testudines, Testudinidae.